GAUGAACGCUGGCGGCGUGCCUAAUACAUGCAAGUCGAGCGAACGGACGAGAAGCUUGCUUCUCUGAUGUUAGCGGCGGACGGGUGAGUAACACGUGGAUAACCUACCUAUAAGACUGGGAUAACUUCGGGAAACCGGAGCUAAUACCGGAUAAUAUUUUGAACCGCAUGGUUCAAAAUUGAAAGACGGUCUUGCUGUCACUUAUAGAUGGAUCCGCGCUGCAUUAGCUAGUUGGUAAGGUAACGGCUUACCAAGGCAACGAUGCAUAGCCGACCUGAGAGGGUGAUCGGCCACACUGGAACUGAGACACGGUCCAGACUCCUACGGGAGGCAGCAGUAGGGAAUCUUCCGCAAUGGGCGAAAGCCUGACGGAGCAACGCCGCGUGAGUGAUGAAGGUCUUCGGAUCGUAAAACUCUGUUAUUAGGGAAGAACAUAUGUGUAAGUAACUGUGCACAUCUUGACGGUACCUAAUCAGAAAGCCACGGCUAACUACGUG
This 497-nucleotide ribosomal RNA is filed under the name uncultured bacterium. RNAcentral describes it as "partial 16S ribosomal RNA". It matches the Rfam family "Bacterial small subunit ribosomal RNA", at positions 28 to 507 of the family's 1533-position model. The record is from RNAcentral.